GUUUAUGGCCAUGCUACCCUGAACAAGGCCGAUGUUUGAUCUCAGAAGCUAAGCAGGAUCAGGCCUGGUUAGUACUUGGAUGGGAUAGCACCUAGGAGGACCAGGUGCUGUAGGCA
This 116-nucleotide ribosomal RNA is filed under the name Pteropus alecto (black flying fox). The record is from RNAcentral. Lineage: Eukaryota; Metazoa; Chordata; Mammalia; Chiroptera; Pteropodidae.